GACGAACGCUGGCGGCGUGCUUAACACAUGCAAGUCGAACGGAAAGGCCCUGCUUUUGUGGGGUGCUCGAGUGGCGAACGGGUGAGUAACACGUGAGUAACCUGCCCUUGACUUUGGGAUAACUUCAGGAAACUGGGGCUAAUACCGGAUAGGAGCUCCUGCUGCAUGGUGGGGGUUGGAAAGUUUCGGCGGUUGGGGAUGGACUCGCGGCUUAUCAGCUUGUUGGUGAGGUAGUGGCUUACCAAGGCUUUGACGGGUAGCCGGCCUGAGAGGGUGACCGGCCACAUUGGGACUGAGAUACGGACCAGACUCCUACGGGAGGCAGAAGUGGGGAAUAUUGCACAAUGGGCGGAAGCCUGAUGCAGCAACGCCGCGUGCGGGAUGACGGCCUUCGGGUUGUAAACCGCUUUCGCCUGUGACGAAGCGUGAGUGACGGUAAUGGGUAAAGAAGCACCGGCUAACUACGUG
This 468-nucleotide ribosomal RNA is filed under the name uncultured bacterium. RNAcentral describes it as "partial 16S ribosomal RNA". It matches the Rfam family "Bacterial small subunit ribosomal RNA", at positions 28 to 507 of the family's 1533-position model. The record is from RNAcentral.